RNAcentral lists this long non-coding RNA (252 nucleotides) under Gossypium barbadense (sea-island cotton). RNAcentral's name for it is "long non-coding RNA (GBAR_LNC022522)". Lineage: Eukaryota; Viridiplantae; Streptophyta; Magnoliopsida; Malvales; Malvaceae. The record is from RNAcentral.
AAAAGUUUCCUUCUUUGCGUUCUCUUAUGAUUCGGAACAUUAAAGCAAUCCGAAAUUGGGUCAUUGUUGCUUGCUUGGAAAUCAGAUUCAUCUCCUCCCUCAAUUCCUCACAUUAUUGUUUAAUAAUGGGGAAUCUUAGUCUCACACUUGUUUGUUCCUCUCUUAUGCGCUGUUGAUCCAUGCUUAUCUUCGCCAUGUUUCGCUUCAAACAUAGGAUCUUCUGCUUCAGCUGCUCAUCGCCCAUUCCACGAC